UGUUAUUGCAGUUCUCCAACAUAUAUCUUCCCCUCCCUCGAUCUCCAUUAAUUUUCUCUUAAGUCCCCUCGUGCCUAUACCUUUAUUUCUCCAUUGGAUGAAAGUUCCUUUCACAAAUGUGAUGAGGAAUGCUUGAAGAAGCUAUUUUGUGCUUCCUUGAGAAGCAUACAUGGACUGCACUCAGAGAAUAUUAUAGCUGCGGUAGUUGUGGCAGAAGCUGAUGAGAUUUCUCCUUCCAGUUCUUCUCCAACAUCUUCCCCUCCCACUCUUCCUCCCUCUCCAUUUGCUACGCCCUUUGAUCUCUCUCCACUGGAUGGAACUUGUGUUCACGCAAAAUGUGCUCACGAAUGUGAUUUCCAUUGCUUUUUCCAUGUAUUUCCUACAAUGGCAUACAUGGAAUGUGUUCAACAUUGUAUGGAUCGUUGUGUUCAAAGGUCUUUACUGCCAACAGUAUCCGACAUCCUGACUCUUGGUUGUCCAGAGUUCUUGACAAACAUUUUUGAACAUGUCCUAGAGGCAAAGAAAAUUACUAGAAGGAAUUGAAGAAAGUGAAAGUGUUGCCAGGUCGCUUCUAGCUAGGUUGUGGUUCUACUGCAGACGAGUUAAAUUUGCUUACUAUAUAAACUUUGGCUUGUUUUUGCUUUUUACGAACUUGACCACCAGCUUGUAAUCCUCAAAUAAGAUUUUGGACUUGUGCUUA
RNA transcript from Alnus glutinosa, 700 nucleotides. RefSeq lists it as uncharacterized. The record is from RefSeq and is a predicted model, not a curated record. The transcript is spliced from 3 exons. NCBI's taxonomy places the organism in Eukaryota, Viridiplantae, Streptophyta, Magnoliopsida, Fagales, Betulaceae.